This 64-nucleotide transfer RNA is filed under the name Scaptodera rhadamistus. RNAcentral describes it as "tRNA-Thr". Lineage: Eukaryota; Metazoa; Arthropoda; Insecta; Coleoptera; Scarabaeidae. The record is from RNAcentral.
GUUUUAAUAAUUUAUAUAAAAUAUUGGUCUUGUAAACCAAAAAAAAAGAAACCUUUUUAAAACU